RNA transcript from Leptopilina heterotoma, 4181 nucleotides. It is a transcript of the gene named apoptosis-stimulating of p53 protein 2, with no coding region annotated. The transcript has 12 exons. The record is from RefSeq and is a predicted model, not a curated record. Lineage: Eukaryota; Metazoa; Arthropoda; Insecta; Hymenoptera; Figitidae.
UGUUCUACUGUAGUUUGUGUGGCAGACAUUUUGUGAAGCGGCUCGAAAAUGUAACCUUUUCUUAAGUAACACUAUCUCUGUCUACCUCAUGAAAAUGUGUUAUGACUUUCACAAAAGUUUCGUAGUAAUAAUGACAAGUUGUAAAAAUGCAGUUUUUAACGCCUAUUUUUUACCUACGAAUAAAUCAACAGCCUAAUUGAUUUUGUGUUGCAUUACACUAUGAAACGAAUUUCACCGUUUGAAAAUUACCCACACGUAAUGAUAUAAUUCGAACACAUUAAUUGGUGUCGAGCAAGUCGGUCCUCAUCCUCAUAUAAUGACUAAAUGAGACAAGUGUUAUUAGCAUCGGUUCUGGCACUAAAGAAGCAAUUUUCUAGUAUUUUCACAGAUCAAACAUAUCAUUAAGUGAAUAGACAAUGUGAGAAUUCUCUUUUCGUUCUUAGGAGAGAACAUUUAAACCCCAUCUCUGCAAAAAGUUCGUUAGCUGUGGAUUACGCGGAAUAAAUAUCACGAAGAUUCUGCUGGUUAAUAUUGAAGGAGUAUUAACGUACAAACAUGGUAUGAGGGAAAACUCUGGCAACAUAGCUGAGGUGUUACCAGUUGGCGGGGGAGAGGCUGUGCUUCUGCUCAGCGAACUUGAAAGCAUGGCAUCUAGACAGCAGCGAGAAAUUGUGCAGCAAAGGCGAAUAUUGGAACAGAGAGAGGCUCGACUAGCUGUACUUCGAGGAGCACAGGAGCCAUCUCAACAAGACAGACUUGCAAGACUUCGACAUCGCUUAGAUCAACAGCAAACGAAAUUGAAUCGUUUACGUUUAAUAAGAUCACAAACAGAUCAGUCUCGAGUUAACAAUGCCACCUUAACCUCUGAUUUGGACUGCAUAAGAGCUCUUUUCAAUGAAAAGGAAAAGGAAUUAUCACUAGCUGUAGCUAAGGUCGAAGAACUAACUCGUCAACUGGAAGAACUUCGUGGACGCCACAGUCUCAAUGGAAAUAGUAUCGGUAUUCAUUUACCAACAUCUGCCAGUACCGAACUGGAGAAGUUGCGGAGGGAGUUACUGUAUCGUAACAAGAUGAAUGAGCAACAGAAUCAAGUAGUGUCUCAACAGAGAUUGGCUUUAGCUCAGAAACAAGCAGAAAUGGCCUCAAUUGACGCGCGAAUUGCUCAGCUCCAAGGUCGACUUCAGCGUAAGAGAGCUUUAAAUCAGCGAUUGAGUCAACAACUAGGAUCUAUUAAUCUGUCCACUUCGAACCAAACCUAUCUCGACUCUAAAGUUGAUUUCUCGAAUGGCGGAAAGUCUCGCCCAAUUGGCAAUAUUGCUGCGAUUGAGCCUUACUCUCAUAUUCCGAACGACGAUUUCGCCUUGAAUAAGAACGAUCCAAAGUACCAAACACUACCAUACAACACCAAAUUCACUGUUAAUUUUAAAAAUUCAGAGGAUGAUUGUAAUAUUAAUAAAAUUCAACACAGUGCAAGCGCUUUGCAAAUUGGACAAAGGUCGACAUACUAUCAGUUGGGUCAUCAGAUUGUUCACAGUCAAUCUCAAUCUCACAUUAAAGACAAAUUGCAACCUCUAGGCACAAAUCAACAACAUUUCUCCUACAAUACGAAUAAUAAGAACAACAAUAACAUUUCUAACAAUAAUAAUGAGAAUUUCAUUAUUGAAAAUCAAGCUUCCCAAGGUCUUCGAAUACAUAACAUUCAACAAGCUCAGCAGCAUGCAAACUUGCAGCAAAAAUAUCACAAUUGUAUGAAUUUGUCAAACUCCAGUGCAGGCUUAAAUACUCAAAUAAUUUGCACCAAACAAAAUCUUCGAAACAUCCAGUUGCACCAAAAGCCAAUAUCCAGUGUUGCACCGAGUUUCCCUGUAAAGUCGCCCAUAUACAAGACGUCGUCGACUAAAAUCCAUCCCGUCAUGCCACAAACUUUGAAUCUACUAAGCAGAGGCCACACUGGAUACAACACUUUAAAGAAUCAAAAUCAAUCAAACGAAAAUGUUCAGAAUGUAACGCAGGAACUGAAUUGUGUAAUAAAGUCUAAUCCACCCAGUGUUUCAGCAGCGACAAUAUCGGUUUCCGAACAGUCAAAUGAAAAGCCACUGUCGAAACUCGAAGUUCAAGUACGCAUCGAACAAAACGGAGUCAAGUAUGAAAAUAGUGCAGCGCAAAACAAGUACGAAAUGCAACAAACAAAGGUGUUCGACAGCAGUGGAAAGCACGAAUUGAGUGGCAAGGAAGACGGUAAACGCGAACCGCCUGCCAAGUGUGAAACAGUAAAGGGAGACUCAAAUGCCAAGUUUGAUUUGAAAUCGGACCAAGUUCUCCUAAAGAACGACUCAGUAGGAAGGCACGAUUCCUCAGUGGAGCUACAAGGAAAAUUGGAUGCAAUAAAGUACGAUAAAAGUCAAAACGCAUUCGACAAUUCUGCCUUGUACGAUCACAAUGUCGAGCUUAUACAUGCAGACGCUAACGCUAAAUUCGAAUUAUCAAGUAAAUUGUCAGAAAUGGUUGCGGAUCAAGAAAAAUUCAAACCUGACGUUGAACGAAAGAUAUUUCUUUAUAAUGAGAUGAAAAACGAGGACAAACCUAAGCCGACACUGCCGCCGAAGCCAACUAAAUCUAAUGCUCCUCCCAGACUAAUUACUCACGAGAAGCUUGACUUCGCCACUGAUGUUGACGAGUAUGCAGCAAACAUUGACAGAGAGGAAAAGAAAGAAGAAAUUCCACCUAUGCCAACAUCAGAACCUCCGGAAUCCCCAACUGACGGUCAAUGUCUAAAUAAGCAAGCUAUCACAUCUCGCCCUUUAACACUGAAAAAAGUACCAUUCUUAGAAACUCCAAAACUUAGAUAUUCUAAAUCCAAUAUUCACGUGUCAAUAAAUCGGCGAAUCGAAAUGCCACCUGCUUUCCUGUUUCCUGAAACAGAGAUUCCAGCAGAUCUUAUGCAAACCGAUGUGAAUCAGUAUCAACACGCUCAACAGCAAUCUCAACAAGCUAUUGAAGCACUAGAUUCUAAUAUGAAGAAAAUAUUGCCAAAUGUUCUAACAAAUAAGGAAUUAAAUCAAAAAGAGAAAGUAGAGCAAGUUGAUAUUGUAGAUGCUAUAAGCGUUAUUAAUAUUGAAGAAAAAUCAAAGUUGAAAAGUGACAAGGACAGAAAGUGUGAAGCGGAGUUGGAGUGCAAAUCCAUAGAGGUUACUAAAAGGAAAAAAGGCAAUUUGAAAAUUUCUACGGGAAAAGCAAAUCUUUCGAGGCGUGUUUCAUUUGAUCCUUUGGCUCUUCUAUUGGAUGCCAGUCUCGAAGGUGAAUUAGAAUUAGUAAAAAAGACUGCAAAGGAAGUGUCCAAUCCUAGUUCCGCUAAUGACGAGGGCAUAACAGCUCUUCACAACGCCAUUUGUGCGGGACAUCUUGAAAUCGUCAAGUUUCUUGUGGAAUUCGGUUGUGACGUCAAUGCACAAGACAGUGAUGGAUGGACACCACUACACUGUGCUGCCAGUUGCAAUAAUUUAGCGAUGGUUAAAUUUUUGGUCGAACAUGGAGCGUGCAUAUUCGCUACUACCUUAUCGGAUCACGAAACAGCUGCAGAAAAAUGCGAAGAAGAUGAAGAAGGUUUCGAUGGCUGCUCUGAAUAUCUAUACAGUGUCCAAGAAAAGUUAGGCAUCAUUAACAAUGGACAAGUGUUUGCAGUAUUUGAUUAUGUGGCACAACAUAAUGAUGAACUUUCCUUAAAGAAUAGCGAUUCUCUGGUUAUAAUCAGGAAAGGCGACGAUGAUGAAAGGGAAUGGUGGUGGAGUAAACUGGGACAUAAAGAGGGAUAUGUACCACGAAAUUUACUUGGCCUCUACCCCAGAGUUAAAUUACCUAAAACGGACUGAAGUCUUUGCAGAUCUACAAAACAUAAUUUUCAUUCAACACGUACUAGAAGCAGUAUUGAGUUUGCAAUUUAAUUUUAUUGUAUAGUGUGUGAAUGACAGUUAAACUUUCUGCAGUUUUUCUAUAAAAUUUAGAUGAUAUUAAUUUAUUUAACAUCCUUAACUUACUACAUACUUGACGGCUGUCACACAAAUUUUUACAAAGAUGUAAGAGUUGCACGUAAUCAAAUGGAAUAACUUAAAUGGAAUAUUAAAUUAUCAAUAAAUAUGAGAAGUAUUGUACAAUACAAAUACAAAUAUUUUUGUAUUGAAAGU